UGUCCGGAACUUGCCAGAGAUGGCUUGGUGGCCCAAAGGGGAAUCGGAACACAGGUGCUGCAUGGCUGUCGUCAGCUCGUGUCGUGAGAUGUUGGGUUAAGUCCCGCAACGAGCGCAACCCUUAUCAUUAGUUGCUACGCAAGGGCACUCUAAUGAGACUGCCGGUGGACAAACCGGAGGAGGUGGGGAUGACGUCAAGUCCUCAUGGCCCUUAUGGGUAGGGCUUCACACGUCAUACAAUGGUCGGUACAGAGGGUUGCCAAGCCGCGAGGCGGAGCCAAUCCCACAAAGCCGAUCGUAGUCCGGAUUGUUCUCUGCAACUCGAGAGCAUGAAGUCGGAAUCGCUAGUAAUCGCAGGUCAGCAUACUGCGGUGAAUACGUUCCCGGGUCUU
RNAcentral lists this ribosomal RNA (392 nucleotides) under uncultured Thiobacillus sp. RNAcentral's name for it is "bacterial SSU rRNA". It matches the Rfam family "Bacterial small subunit ribosomal RNA", at positions 987 to 1382 of the family's 1533-position model. Lineage: Bacteria; Pseudomonadati; Pseudomonadota; Betaproteobacteria; Nitrosomonadales; Thiobacillaceae. The record is from RNAcentral.